CGUGUAGGCGGCUGGAUAAGUCAGAUGUGAAAUCCCUGGGCUUAACCCAGGAAGUGCAUUUGAAACUGUUCAGCUUGAGUAAGGGAGAGGAAAGUGGAAUUCCUGGUGUAGAGGUGAAAUUCGUAGAUAUCAGGAGGAACACCGGUGGCGAAGGCGACUUUCUGGCCCUAUACUGACGCUGAGACGCGAGAGCGUGGGUAGCAAACAG
RNAcentral lists this ribosomal RNA (208 nucleotides) under uncultured Syntrophaceae bacterium. Its description in RNAcentral is "partial 16S ribosomal RNA". It matches the Rfam family "Bacterial small subunit ribosomal RNA", at positions 568 to 775 of the family's 1533-position model. Lineage: Bacteria; Pseudomonadati; Thermodesulfobacteriota; Syntrophia; Syntrophales; Syntrophaceae. The record is from RNAcentral.